CACAUGCAAGUCGAACGGUAACAUUUCUAGCUUGCUAGAAGAUGACGAGUGGCGGACGGGUGAGUAAUGCUUGGGAACUUGCCUUUGCGAGGGGGAUAACAGUUGGAAACGACUGCUAAUACCGCAUAAUGUCUUCGGACCAAACGGGGCUUCAGCUCCGGCGCAAAGAGAGGCCCAAGUGAGAUUAGCUAGUUGGUAAGGUAACGGCUUACCAAGGCGACGAUCUCUAGCUGUUCUGAGAGGAAGAUCAGCCACACUGGGACUGAGACACGGCCCAGACUCCUACGGGAGGCAGCAGUGGGGAAUAUUGCACAAUGGGGGAAACCCUGAUGCAGCCAUGCCGCGUGUGUGAAGAAGGCCUUCGGGUUGUAAAGCACUUUCAGUUGUGAGGAAAAGUUAGUAGUUAAUACCUGCUAGCCGUGACGUUAACAACAGAAGAAGCACCGGCUAACUCCGUGCCAGCAGCCGCGGUAAUACGGAGGGUGCGAGCGUUAAUCGGAAUUACUGGGCGUAAAGCGCACGCAGGCGGUUUGUUAAGCUAGAUGUGAAAGCCCCGGGCUCAACCUGGGAUGGUCAUUUAGAACUGGCAGACUAGAGUCUUGGAGAGGGGAGUGGAAUUCCAGGUGUAGCGGUGAAAUGCGUAGAUAUCUGGAGGAACAUCAGUGGCGAAGGCGACUCCCUGGCCAAAGACUGACGCUCAUGUGCGUAAGUGU
RNAcentral lists this ribosomal RNA (713 nucleotides) under bacterium T292. RNAcentral describes it as "bacterial SSU rRNA". It matches the Rfam family "Bacterial small subunit ribosomal RNA", at positions 52 to 762 of the family's 1533-position model. The record is from RNAcentral.